GAAUCCGCACAAGCGGUGGAGCAUGUGGUUUAAUUCGAUGCAACGCGAAAAAUCUUACCAGAGUUGAUAUAACAAAAUAUUGAUUAGUAUAGAUGAAAGUUUGUAUAGUUAUUUUAGUGGUGCAUGGCUGUCGUCAGCUCGUGUUGUGGGAUGUUGGGUUAAGUCACGUAACGAGCGGAACCCUUGUUUCUGUUAAGCUUUUAUCUCGGAAAAAACAACUAAUUUAAUUUAGAGGAAGAAUUGGAUGACGUCAAGUCAGUAUGCCCUGUAUACCCUGGGCUACGCACGUGCUACAUUGGGUAGGACAAUGAGACGCCAAACCGUGAGGUCGAGCUAAUCUACAAACCUACUCUAAGUUCGGAUUGGAGGCUGCAACUCGCCUCCAUGAAGUUGGAAUCGCUAGUAAUCGC
RNAcentral lists this ribosomal RNA (410 nucleotides) under uncultured bacterium. RNAcentral's name for it is "bacterial SSU rRNA". It matches the Rfam family "Bacterial small subunit ribosomal RNA", at positions 921 to 1345 of the family's 1533-position model. The record is from RNAcentral.